GUGGGGAAUUUUGGACAAUGGGCGCAAGCCUGAUCCAGCCAUGCCGCGUGCAGGAUGAAGGCCUUCGGGUUGUAAACUGCUUUUGUACGGAACGAAAAGACUCUGGUUAAUACCUGGGGUUCAUGACGGUACCGUAAGAAUAAGCACCGGCUAACUACGUGCCAGCAGCCGCGGUAAUACGUAGGGUGCGAGCGUUAAUCGGAAUUACUGGGCGUAAAGCGUGCGCAGGCGGUUAUAUAAGACAGAUGUGAAAUCCCCGGGCUCAACCUGGGAACUGCAUUUGUGACUGUAUAGCUAGAGUACGGUAGAGGGGGAUGGAAUUCCGCGUGUAGCAGUGAAAUGCGUAGAUAUGCGGAGGAACACCGAUGGCGAAGGCAAUCCCCUGGACCUGUACUGACGCUCAUGCACGAAAGCGUGGGGAGCAAACAGGAUUAGAUACCCGUGUAGUCC
Molecule: ribosomal RNA, 450 nt
Filed under: uncultured bacterium
Lineage: Bacteria
Description: bacterial SSU rRNA
Rfam family: Bacterial small subunit ribosomal RNA
Source: RNAcentral